UGGCGGCGUGCCUAAUACAUGCAAGUCGAGCGAAUGGAUUAAGAGCUUGCUCUUAUGAAGUUAGCGGCGGACGGGUGAGUAACACGUGGGUAACCUGCCCAUAAGACUGGGAUAACUCCGGGAAACCGGGGCUAAUACCGGAUAACAUUUUGAACUGCAUGGUUCGAAAUUGAAAGGCGGCUUCGGGUGUCGCUGAUGGAUGGACCCGCGGUGCAUUAGCUAGUUGGUGAGGUAACGGCUCACCAAGGCCACGAUGCAUAGCCGACCUGAGAGGGUGAUCGGCCACAUUGGGACUGAGACACGGCCCAAACUCCUACGGGAGGCAGCAGUAGGGAAUCUUCGGCAAUGGACGAAAGUCUGACCGAGCAACGCCGCGUGAGUGAAGAAGGUUUUCGGAUCGUAAAACUCUGUUGUUAGAGAAGAACAAGUGCUAGUUGAAUAAGCUGGCACCUUGACGGUACCUAACCAGAAAGCCACGGCUAACUACGUGCCAGCAGCCGCGGUAAUACGUAGGUGGCAAGCGUUGUCCGGAUUUAUUGGGCGUAAAGCGAGCGCAGGCGGUUUCUUAAGUCUGAUGUGAAAGCCCCCGGCUCAACCGGGGAGGGUCAUUGGAAACUGGGAGACUUGAGUGCAGAAGAGGAGAGUGGAAUUCCAUGUGUAGCGGUGAAAUGCGUAGAGAUAUGGAGGAACACCAGUGGCGAAGGCGACUUUCUGGUCUGUAACUGACGCUGAGGCUCGAAAGCGUGGGGAGCAAACAGGAUUAGAUACCCUGGUAGUCCACGCCGUAAACGAUGAGUGCUAAGUGUUGGAGGGUUUCCGCCCUUCAGUGCUGCAGCUAACGCAUUAAGCACUCCGCCUGGGGAGUACGACCGCAAGGUUGAAACUCAAAGGAAUUGACGGGGGCCCGCACAAGCGGUGGAGCAUGUGGUUUAAUUCGAAGCAACGCGAAGAACCUUACCAGGUCUUGACAUCCUUUGACCACUCUAGAGAUAGAGCUUCCCCUUCGGGGGCAAAGUGACAGGUGGUGCAUGGUUGUCGUCAGCUCGUGUCGUGAGAUGUUGGGUUAAGUCCCGCAACGAGCGCAACCCUUGAUCUUAGUUGCCAUCAUUAAGUUGGGCACUCUAAGGUGACUGCCGGUGACAAACCGGAGGAAGGUGGGGAUGACGUCAAAUCAUCAUGCCCCUUAUGACCUGGGCUACACACGUGCUACAAUGGACGGUACAAAGAGCUGCAAGACCGCGAGGUGGAGCUAAUCUCAUAAAACCGUUCUCAGUUCGGAUUGUAGGCUGCAACUCGCCUACAUGAAGCUGGAAUCGCUAGUAAUCGCGGAUCAGCACGCCGCGGUGAAUACGUUCCCGGGCCUUGUACACACCGCCCGUCACACCACGAGAGUUUGUAACACCCGAAGUCGGUGAGGUAACCUUUUUGGAGCCAGCCGCCUAAGG
This 1445-nucleotide ribosomal RNA is filed under the name Bacillus proteolyticus. RNAcentral's name for it is "bacterial SSU rRNA". It matches the Rfam family "Bacterial small subunit ribosomal RNA". Lineage: Bacteria; Bacillati; Bacillota; Bacilli; Caryophanales; Bacillaceae. The record is from RNAcentral.